UACGAAGGGGGCUAGCGUUGCUCGGAAUCACUGGGCGUAAAGGGUGCGUAGGCGGGACUUUAAGUCCGGGGUGAAAUCCUGGAGCUCAACUCCAGAACUGCCUUUGAUACUGAGGAUCUUGAGUUCGGGAGAGGUGAGUGGAACUGCGAGUGUAGAGGUGAAAUUCGUAGAUAUUCGCAAGAACGCCAGUGGCGAAGGCGGCUCACUGGCCCGAUGCUGACGCUGAGGCACGAAAGCGUGGGGAGCGAACAGG
RNAcentral lists this ribosomal RNA (253 nucleotides) under uncultured bacterium. RNAcentral describes it as "partial 16S ribosomal RNA". It matches the Rfam family "Bacterial small subunit ribosomal RNA", at positions 524 to 776 of the family's 1533-position model. The record is from RNAcentral.